UACGUAGGGGGCAAGCGAUACUCGGAAUCACUGGGCGUAAAGCGCAGGUAGGCGGUUUAGUAAGUCUUUUGUGAAAGCUCCCGGCUUAACUGGGAGAGGUCAAAGGAAACUACUAGGCUAGAGUUUGGUAGGGGAUACUGGAAUUCCUGGUGUAGCGGUGAAAUGCGUAGAUAUCAGGAGGAAUACCUAUGGCGAAAGCAGGUAUCUGGGCCACAACUGACGCUGAGCUGCGAAAGCUAGGGGAGCAAACAGG
RNAcentral lists this ribosomal RNA (253 nucleotides) under uncultured bacterium. RNAcentral describes it as "partial 16S ribosomal RNA". It matches the Rfam family "Bacterial small subunit ribosomal RNA", at positions 524 to 776 of the family's 1533-position model. The record is from RNAcentral.